UUACAUGUCAUUUUGUUCCAGGGAGCAGGGAGCAGACAGAGGAGUUGAUCAAACUCCGUGGGCAAAACGACCACCUUUUCACCGGCGCCAAAAAUACUGCAGCAGUUGGUUGGAGAACAAUCCUGCAGAAAAUGGGCCUGGAGGGAAAAGUUGAGCCACAACAGGCCAAAAAAAAGUGGGACAACCUAAAA
This is a long non-coding RNA of Cyprinodon tularosa, 191 nucleotides long. RefSeq lists it as uncharacterized. NCBI's taxonomy places the organism in Eukaryota, Metazoa, Chordata, Actinopteri, Cyprinodontiformes, Cyprinodontidae. The transcript is spliced from 2 exons. The record is from RefSeq and is a predicted model, not a curated record.